Molecule: ribosomal RNA, 459 nt
Filed under: uncultured bacterium
Lineage: Bacteria
Description: partial 16S ribosomal RNA
Rfam family: Bacterial small subunit ribosomal RNA
Source: RNAcentral
CCUACGGGUGGCAGCAGUGAGGAAUAUUGGUCAAUGGACGCAAGUCUGAACCAGCCAUGUCGCGUGCAGGAUGACGGCUCUAUGGGUUGUAAACUGCUUUUGUAGGAGGGUAAACGCCGAUUCGUGAAUCGGGUAUAAAGUAUCGCACGAAUAAGGCUCGGCUAACUCCGUGCCAGCAGCCGCGGUAAUACGGAGGAGGCAGCGUUAUCCGGAUUUAUUGGGUUUAAAGGGUGCGUAGGCGGUUGUAUAAGUUAGAGGUGAAAUGUCGGGGCUCAACCCCGGAACUGCCGCUAAUACUGUAGGACUAGAGAAGAGUGGCGGUAUGCGGAAUGCAUGGUGUAGCGGUGAAAUGCUUAGAUAUCAUACAGAACACCGAUUGCGAAGGCAGCUUACCAACGUAUAACUGACGUUGAGGCACGAAAGCGUGGGUAGCAAACAGGAUUAGAUACCCGAGUAGUC